Molecule: ribosomal RNA, 468 nt
Filed under: uncultured bacterium
Lineage: Bacteria
Description: partial 16S ribosomal RNA
Rfam family: Bacterial small subunit ribosomal RNA
Source: RNAcentral
GACGAACGCUGGCGGCGUGCUUAACACAUGCAAGUCGAACGGAAAGGCCCUGCUUUUGUGGGGUGCUCGAGUGGCGAACGGGUGAGUAACACGUGAGUAACCUGCCCUUGACUUUGGGAUAACUUCAGGAAACUGGGGCUAAUACCGGAUAGGAGCUCCUGCUGCAUGGUGGGGGUUGGAAAGUUUCGGCGGUUGGGGAUGGACUCGCGGCUUAUCAGCUUGUUGGUGGGGUAGUGGCGUACCAAGGCUUUGACGGGUAGCCGGGCUGAGAGGGUGACCGGCCACAUUGGGACUGAGAUACGGCCCAGACUCCUACGGGAGGCAGCAGUGGGGAAUAUUGCACAAUGGGCGGAAGCCUGAUGCAGCAACGCCGCGUGCGGGAUGACGGCCUUCGGGUUGUAAACCGCUUUCGCCUGUGACGAAGCGUGAGUGACGGUAAUGGGUAAAGAAGCACCGGCUAACUACGUG